This 250-nucleotide ribosomal RNA is filed under the name uncultured bacterium. RNAcentral's name for it is "partial 16S ribosomal RNA". It matches the Rfam family "Bacterial small subunit ribosomal RNA", at positions 524 to 773 of the family's 1533-position model. The record is from RNAcentral.
UACGGAGGGUGCAAGCGUUGUUCGGAAUUACUGGGCGUAAAGCGCGUGUAGGUGGCGCUGUAAGUCGGAUGUGAAAGCCCUCGGCUCAACCGAGGAAGUGCAUCCGAUACUGCAGUGCUUGAGUGUCGGAGGGGAUGGCGGAAUUCCCGGUGUAGAGGUGAAAUUCGUAGAUAUCGGGAGGAACACCUGUGGCGAAGGCGGCCAUCUGGACGAUUACUGACACUGAGACGCGAAAGCGUGGGUAGCAAAC